CUUAGCUCCUCAUCUCACUAUCAGCAGAGAGCUAUUACUGAACAGUGAAAGGGGAAGGCUUCUUUGUCGAUCCCAUCAUAACUCUGACCUUUUGGUCCUCCUGCAGAUGCUCCAGUGGCUUUGACCGCUAUCGCCAGGAGUGGAUGGACUACGGCUGUGCACAGGAGGCAGAGGGCAGGACGUGCGAGGACUUCCAGGAUGAGGACCACGACUUGGCCUCCCCUGACACUUCCUUCAGCCCCUAUGAUGGAGACCUCACCACUACCUCCUCCUCCCUCUUCAUCGACAGCCUCACCACAGAAGGCCUUCAGAACAACCUGUCCCCCAAGACAAAGGGCA
RNAcentral lists this small RNA (339 nucleotides) under Pongo abelii (Sumatran orangutan). RNAcentral's name for it is "retained intron". Lineage: Eukaryota; Metazoa; Chordata; Mammalia; Primates; Hominidae. The record is from RNAcentral.